UUUUUCCUUAAGUGCUGCUCAAUGGAAAUUUAUUUUUUUUUUGGAUCAUUGCAAUAUUUUUUUAGUAAGAAAAAUUUUGUCAUGUUUUUAAUCCAACGCUACUUUUUUUUUUUUAACUCAGCCACUGCGCGCCGACAUUUUAAAUCUGCCUCAACUGUUUGCUUCCUUCCGCCGUGAUAAGUUUCUCCUUCCUUGAGUCUGUGGUGUGUACUGGGAUGCGAAAGGCUCUAGGUGUCAGAUGCCUCCCUUCAUUCUUCAGGCUGCAAGCUUCCAGGUAAAGCACGUUCCACCGAUUUGGGGCUUGAUUUUUGUGUGUGUGUUUGUGCAGCUUCUUUGAAGCAAUUUUUUUUCCUGGCAUGUGUAUCAAUUGUUCGGCGCGUUCGCAUGAAAUGUGUGAAUUGGCACCGUCUGAGCCGAGCUGGGUGCGUGUGGGGGAAUAAAGAUGCCAGCGUGCCAAGAGUACAGAUGCUGCAUGAACUGUGCAGCCCUUGUAGACAGUCCCAGCUCUGCAGUGGGUAGAGAAGUGGCAGCCUUCCAAAGCCAUCACAGCUUUUAUUCAUCGUCUGUACAACAACUACAUAACGUCUCGCUGGGCAGCGCCAGGCACGGAUGGACGAGGGGAGAGUUUUGAAGGAGUGGGAAAGCACAACUUGGAAAAUGGGGUUCUCAGCAAUAUUUGGCCUAUGACGUCGGGAUUUAAAGUGCCAAGAAAGAGAGAGGAACCCUCCCACCCCAAGUGCCACCCGUGAGAGUAAUGGAAGAGCUGUCAACCCAUGCCCAGGCACAUAUAAACAGGGAGCUCAGAAGUGAAGAGAAACAGGUCAAAGAAGAGUCAUCCUCCUUUAAGUGCCAAGAAGAGGCCUUCUACCUUCUGGUGCAAGAAGACAUUGAACAAGAAUUGGAAGCUAAAGCUACCAAAGAAGUUGAAAGAAAACUAAGCAGGGAUUUAGUGCAAGAAGAGGAAGAACAGUUGAUGGAAGAAAGGAAAAAGAGAAAAGAAGACAAGAAAAAGAAGGAAGCUGCUCAAAAAAAGGUAUGUGGAUCAUUUAAGUUAAAAAAAAUAGGAUUUGGCUUUUGUUUUUUUUCUCAGACUAAUUUUGCUUAUUGUAAUAUAGCUGUUAAAGAUAAGCCCUUUUUUUUUUUUUUUUAAAUCUCAUUAUAGCACUUCCAAAGCACAAUGCAAUCAUCAAGUAACUGUCUUACUGAACAUCUUUACUGAUCUUGCAGGCAUAGUUUUUUCAAAGCUAAAAAUCUUGUUUAGAUAUCCAUUUAGCUCACAGAUCUUCAGUUGAUAGGGACGUUUCUGGAUGCAAGCCCAUGCAUACACAAUGUGAAGACUGACAUAGUAUAAAAUGUUUUUUAAAAUAGUUGUUUUUAGCUGUUAGCCUUAUUUUAAUACAUCUGAUUAGCCUUCUGUGAUUAGUGUAACUCUUCAUCACACAUGCUUUAUCAAAGAUGGAUAAAAUUAAAACAUUGGCAGCAGGGAGUGGGGUUUAAGACUAGUUAUGGUAAAGUGCUUUGAAGAUAUAAGAGCAUUGAGUGAAUACUAAGAAUUAUUCCCAAGACAUUUUUAAAGAAAAAAUACAAAAUUACUUUUUGGGUAAUGUUAAAACAGUAUCCGUCAGUCAUUAGUAUUUAACAUUGUAGAUGCCCUGGUUGAGAGGAGCCCAUAAAUCUGGCUAAGAACAUAUCUCCAUUUCAGACUUCCAAUUCCUGUAAGGAGACAUCUAAAAUAAGCCUAGUUCUCAAUUUUUUCUUGAUCCUCCUUAGCAAUGUAAAAUGUUCAGUUCAUAUGCAGAAAGAUGGCUAGUCAUUUCUGCAACCCAGACCUCUUGUCAAAAUAAAAGGGUUUAUCUCAUUUACA
Molecule: long non-coding RNA, 1864 nt
Filed under: Chrysemys picta bellii (western painted turtle)
Lineage: Eukaryota; Metazoa; Chordata; Testudines; Emydidae
Description: lncRNA (ENSCPBG00000001862.1)
Source: RNAcentral